RNAcentral lists this ribosomal RNA (206 nucleotides) under uncultured bacterium. RNAcentral's name for it is "partial 16S ribosomal RNA". It matches the Rfam family "Bacterial small subunit ribosomal RNA", at positions 524 to 726 of the family's 1533-position model. The record is from RNAcentral.
UACGUAGGGUGCAAGCGUUGUCCGGAAUUAUUGGGCGUAAAGAGCUCGUAGGCGGUCUGUCGCGUCGGACUGUGAAAUCCCGAGGCUCAACCUCGGGUCUGCAGUCGAUACGGGCAAAGCUAGAGUUCGGUAGGGGAGACUGGAAUUCCUGGUGUAGCGGUGAAAUGCGUAGAUAGUGCGGAGGAACACCGAUGGCGAAGGCGAAU